Molecule: ribosomal RNA, 431 nt
Filed under: uncultured bacterium
Lineage: Bacteria
Description: partial 16S ribosomal RNA
Rfam family: Bacterial small subunit ribosomal RNA
Source: RNAcentral
AACGAACGCUGGCGGCAGGCCUAACACAUGCAAGUCGAGCGCCCCGCAAGGGGAGCGGCGGACGGGUGAGUAACGCGUGGGAAUAUGCCCUUUGCUACGGAAUAGUCUCGGGAAACUGGGGGUAAUACCGUAUACGCCCUUUGGUGGAAAGAUUUAUCGGCGAAGGAUUAGCCCGCUUUGGAUUAGGUAGUUGGUGGGGUAAUGGCCUACCAAGCCGACGAUCCAUAGCUGGUUGUAGAGUAUGAUCAGACACACUGGGACUGAGACACGGCCCAGACUCCUACGGGAGGCAGCAGUGGGGAAUCUUAGAAAAUGGGGGCAACCCUGAUCUAGCCAUGCCGCGUGAGUGAUGAAGGCCUUAGGGUUGUAAAGCUCUUUCAGCUGGGAAGAUAAUGACGGUACCAGCAGAAGAAGCCCCGGCUAACUCCGUG